GGCGAAAGCCUGAUCCAGCCAUGCCGCGUGUGUGAAGAAGGUCUUCGGAUUGUAAAGCACUUUAAGUUGGGAGGAAGGGCAGUAAAUUAAUACUUUGCKGUUUUGACGUUACCGACAGAAUAAGCACCGGCUAACUCCGUGCCAGCAGCCGCGGUAAUACGGAGGGUGCAAGCGUUAAUCGGAAUUACUGGGCGUAAAGCGCGCGUAGGUGGUUUGUUAAGUURGAUGUGAAAUCCCCGGGCUCAACCUGGGAACUGCAUUCGAAACUGGCAAGCUAGAGUAUGGUAGAGGGUGGUGGAAUUUCCUGUGUAGCGGUGAAAUGCGUAGAUAUMKGAAGGAACACCAGUGGCGAAGGCGACCACC
This 363-nucleotide ribosomal RNA is filed under the name uncultured Pseudomonas sp. Its description in RNAcentral is "bacterial SSU rRNA". It matches the Rfam family "Bacterial small subunit ribosomal RNA", at positions 374 to 729 of the family's 1533-position model. The record is from RNAcentral. Lineage: Bacteria; Pseudomonadati; Pseudomonadota; Gammaproteobacteria; Pseudomonadales; Pseudomonadaceae.